UGGGGAAUCUUGCGCAAUGGGCGAAAGCCUGACGCAGCAACGCCGCGUGUGUGAUGAAGGUCUUCGGAUCGUAAAGCACUGUCGGGAGGGACGAAUAAGGGCCGGGUGAACAAUCUGGUCCGAUGACGGUACCUCUAAAGGAAGCACCGGCUAACUCUGUGCCAGCAGCCGCGGUAAUACAGAGGGUGCAAGCGUUGUUCGGAAUUAUUGGGCGUAAAGCGCGUGUAGGCGGUCUCGCAAGUCGGAUGUGAAAGCCCUCGGCUUAACCGAGGAAGUGCGUUCGAAACUACGGGACUUGAGUACCGGAGAGGGUGGCGGAAUUCCCGGUGUAGAGGUGAAAUUCGUAGAUAUCGGGAGGAACACCAGUGGCGAAGGCGGCCACCUGGACGGUCACUGACGCUGAGACGCGAGAGCGUGGGGAGCAAACAGG
This 430-nucleotide ribosomal RNA is filed under the name uncultured bacterium. RNAcentral describes it as "bacterial SSU rRNA". It matches the Rfam family "Bacterial small subunit ribosomal RNA", at positions 355 to 776 of the family's 1533-position model. The record is from RNAcentral.